Dreissena polymorpha is the source of this 335-nucleotide long non-coding RNA. RefSeq lists it as uncharacterized. The transcript is spliced from 3 exons. The record is from RefSeq and is a predicted model, not a curated record. NCBI's taxonomy places the organism in Eukaryota, Metazoa, Mollusca, Bivalvia, Myida, Dreissenidae.
AUUAAAUUCAUGUAAAUUGUAGGAUUGGGACGCUGUUUUUGGCAACCAUGCUGUUGUGUUUGUUCACACCAGGUGUUAUCGGCUAUGAUAGAAGGCCAUGCGUGUGUACGACGGAGUAUAACCCGGUGUGUGGGGUUGAUGGCAAAACAUACGGGAACAUGUGCGCUCUCCGAUGCGCAGGUGUAAGGCUGGCUUAUAAAGGGGCCUGUAAAUACGAAGGAUAUGGGGGAUGAGCAGUCAACAAUAUAAGCCUUCACAGAAGAAAAUAUGAAAAAGCUAUAGUUAUAGUACACAUAUUUUUUUGUAUUCAAGGCUUUUUCUUAAUAAAGAAUUUC